GCCGCCGUAGCUCAGUGGUAGAGCGCACCCUUGGUAAGGGUGAGGCCGCGAGUCCGAUUCUCGCCGGCGGCACCA
This 75-nucleotide transfer RNA is filed under the name Alphaproteobacteria bacterium. Its description in RNAcentral is "tRNA-Thr". It matches the Rfam family "tRNA". From Rfam's summary of the family: Transfer RNA (tRNA) molecules are approximately 80 nucleotides in length. The record is from RNAcentral. Lineage: Bacteria; Pseudomonadati; Pseudomonadota; Alphaproteobacteria.